Molecule: ribosomal RNA, 305 nt
Filed under: uncultured bacterium
Lineage: Bacteria
Description: bacterial SSU rRNA
Rfam family: Bacterial small subunit ribosomal RNA
Source: RNAcentral
ACCUACGGGGGGCAGCAGUAGGGAAUUUUCGUCAAUGGGCGCAAGCCUGAACGAGCAAUGCCGCGUGAACGAGGAAGGUCUUCUGAUCGUAAAGUUCUGUUGGAGGGGAAAAAGAGCGGAGAGAGGAAAUGCUUUCUGAUUGAUAUUACCCUUCGAGGAAGUCACGGCUAACUACGUGCCAGCAGCCGCGGUAAUACGUAGGUGGCGAGCGUUAUCCGGAAUGAUUGGGCGUAAAGGGUGCGUAGGCGGCCUGCUAAGUCUGGAGUGAAAGGUACCGGCUCAACCGGUACAGGCUCUGGAAACUG